RNAcentral lists this ribosomal RNA (1439 nucleotides) under uncultured organism. RNAcentral describes it as "SSU rRNA". It matches the Rfam family "Bacterial small subunit ribosomal RNA". The record is from RNAcentral.
ACGCUAGCUACAGGCUUAACACAUGCAAGUCUUGGGGCAUCAGGAAGAAAGCUUGCUUUCUUUGCUGGCGACCGGCGCGCGGGUGAGUAACACGUAUCCAACCUGCCCUUUACUCGGGGAUAGCCUUUCGAAAGAAAGAUUAAUACCCGAUAGCAUAAUGAUUCCGCAUGGUUUCAUUAUUAAAGGAUUCCGGUAAAGGAUGGGGAUGCGUUCCAUUAGGUUGUUGGUGAGGUAACGGCCCACCAAGCCUUCGAUGGAUAGGGGUUCUGAGAGGAAGGUCCCCCACAUUGGAACUGAGACACGGUCCAAACUCCUACGGGAGGCAGCAGUGAGGAAUAUUGGUCAAUGGGCGCUAGCCUGAACCAGCCAAGUAGCGUGAAGGAUGAAGGCUCUAUGGGUCGUAAACUUCUUUUAUAUAAGAAUAAAGUGCAGUAUGUAUACUGUUUUGUAUGUAUUAUAUGAAUAAGGAUCGGCUAACUCCGUGCCAGCAGCCGCGGUAAUACGGAGGAUCCGAGCGUUAUCCGGAUUUAUUGGGUUUAAAGGGAGCGUAGGUGGACUGGUAAGUCAGUUGUGAAAGUUUGCGGCUCAACCGUAAAAUUGCAGUUGAUACUGUCAGUCUUGAGUACAGUAGAGGUGGGCGGAAUUCGUGGUGUAGCGGUGAAAUGCUUAGAUAUCACGAAGAACUCCGAUUGCGAAGGCAGCUCACUGGACUGCAACUGACACUGAUGCUCGAAAGUGUGGGUAUCAAACAGGAUUAGAUACCCUGGUAGUCCACACAGUAAACGAUGAAUACUCGCUGUUUGCGAUAUACAGUAAGCGGCCAAGCGAAAGCAUUAAGUAUUCCACCUGGGGAGUACGCCGGCAACGGUGAAACUCAAAGGAAUUGACGGGGGCCCGCACAAGCGGAGGAACAUGUGGUUUAAUUCGAUGAUACGCGAGGAACCUUACCCGGGCUUAAAUUGCAGUGGAAUGAUGUGGAAACAUGUCAGUGAGCAAUCACCGCUGUGAAGGUGCUGCAUGGUUGUCGUCAGCUCGUGCCGUGAGGUGUCGGCUUAAGUGCCAUAACGAGCGCAACCCUUAUCUUUAGUUACUAACAGGUUAUGCUGAGGACUCUGGAGAGACUGCCGUCGUAAGAUGUGAGGAAGGUGGGGAUGACGUCAAAUCAGCACGGCCCUUACGUCCGGGGCUACACACGUGUUACAAUGGGGGGUACAGAAGGCAGCUACCUGGUGACAGGAUGCUAAUCCCAAAAGCCUCUCUCAGUUCGGAUCGAAGUCUGCAACCCGACUUCGUGAAGCUGGAUUCGCUAGUAAUCGCGCAUCAGCCACGGCGCGGUGAAUACGUUCCCGGGCCUUGUACACACCGCCCGUCAAGCCAUGGGAGCCGGGGGUACCUGAAGUACGUAACCGCAAGGAUCGUCCUAGGGUAAAACUGGUGAC